Molecule: long non-coding RNA, 403 nt
Filed under: Mytilus galloprovincialis (Mediterranean mussel)
Lineage: Eukaryota; Metazoa; Mollusca; Bivalvia; Mytilida; Mytilidae
Source: RNAcentral
UUCUGUGUCUUUGUUAUGGCACCCUCAACAGAGUUGGGGUGACAUAUUGUUAUUCUACGUUUCUUUUUUUUUUAAGGUCUUUCCUUUUUCUAUAAGGAAAGACCUUACUGUAUUUCUUCUGAUUAUUAUUAUUAUUAGGUCUUUCCACUUUUCUGUGGAAAGCCUAUUGUAUUUGUUCUGAUUAUUAUUAUUAUUAUUUUUUUUUUUUUUCCGCCAAAUUUUGUUCUUGCGAUAAAUGUUUGUUUCGCAAUAUGUCGCUUAGAUUUUUUUCAUAUUGUAUCGUAUAGUUUAUGCGCUUUUAAAUUUCACCCUGCUAAGCCGAACCAUUUUCUUUGUAAGAGUUAUCUCCCUAUUCACUGUUUGUCAUGUGUGUGCAUCUCCUUCGUAACAAAAUAAGAAAGCG